AUUGAACGCUGGCGGCAGGCCUAACACAUGCAAGUCGAACGGUAACAGGAAGCAGCUUGCUGCUUUGCUGACGAGUGGCGGACGGGUGAGUAAUGUCUGGGAAACUGCCUGAUGGAGGGGGAUAACUGCUGGAAACGGUAGCUAAUACCGCAUAACGUCGCAAGACCAAAGAGGGGGACCUUCGGGCCUCUUGCCAUCGGAUGUGCCCAGAUGGGAUUAGCUAGUAGGUGGGGUAACGGCUCACCUAGGCGACGAUCCCUAGCUGGUCUGAGAGGAUGACCAGCCACACUGGAACUGAGACACGGUCCAGACUCCUACGGGAGGCAGCAGUGGGGAAUAUUGCACAAUGGGCGCAAGCCUGAUGCAGCCAUGCCGCGUGUAUGAAGAAGGCCUUCGGGUUGUAAAGUACUUUCAGCGGGGAGGAAGGGAGUAAAGUUAAUACCUUUGCUCAUUGACGUUACCCGCAGAAGAAGCACCGGCUAACUCCGUG
RNAcentral lists this ribosomal RNA (490 nucleotides) under uncultured bacterium. RNAcentral's name for it is "partial 16S ribosomal RNA". It matches the Rfam family "Bacterial small subunit ribosomal RNA", at positions 30 to 507 of the family's 1533-position model. The record is from RNAcentral.